UACGUAGGGUGCGAGCGUUGUCCGGAAUUAUUGGGCGUAAAGAGCUCGUAGGUGGUUUGUCGCGUUGUUCGUGAAAUCCCACGGCUUAACUGUGGGCGUGCGGGCGAUACGGGCAGACUGGAGUACUGCAGGGGAGACUGGAAUUCCCGGUGUAGCGGUGAAAUGCGCAGAUAUCAGGAGGAACACCGGUGGCGAAGGCGGUUCUCUGGGCAUUACCUGACGCUGAGGAGCGAAAGUGUGGGGAGCGAACAGG
Molecule: ribosomal RNA, 253 nt
Filed under: uncultured bacterium
Lineage: Bacteria
Description: partial 16S ribosomal RNA
Rfam family: Bacterial small subunit ribosomal RNA
Source: RNAcentral